UACGUAGGGUGCGAGCGUUGUCCGGAUUUAUUGGGCGUAAAGGGCUCGUAGGCGGCGUGUCGCGUCGGGUGUGAAAGACCGGGGCUUAACCCCGGUUCUGCUUCCGGUACGGGCAUGCUGGAGUGUGGCAGGGGAGACUGGAAUUCCUGGUGUAGCGGUGGAGUGCGCAGAUAUCAGGAGGAACACCGGUGGCGAAGGCGGGUCUCUGGGCCAUUACUGACGCUGAGGAGCGAAAGCGUGGGGAGCGAACAGG
This 253-nucleotide ribosomal RNA is filed under the name uncultured bacterium. Its description in RNAcentral is "partial 16S ribosomal RNA". It matches the Rfam family "Bacterial small subunit ribosomal RNA", at positions 524 to 776 of the family's 1533-position model. The record is from RNAcentral.